This 506-nucleotide ribosomal RNA is filed under the name Enterococcus faecalis. RNAcentral's name for it is "partial 23S ribosomal RNA". It matches the Rfam family "Bacterial large subunit ribosomal RNA", at positions 418 to 925 of the family's 2925-position model. Lineage: Bacteria; Bacillati; Bacillota; Bacilli; Lactobacillales; Enterococcaceae. The record is from RNAcentral.
CGGAACACGAGAAAUUCCGUCGGAAUCCGCGGGGACCAUCCCGCAAGGCUAAAUACUCCCUAGUGACCGAUAGUGAACCAGUACCGUGAGGGAAAGGUGAAAAGCACCCCGGAAGGGGAGUGAAAUAGAUCCUGAAACCGUGUGCCUACAACAAGUCAAAGCUCGUUAAUGAGUGAUGGCGUGCCUUUUGUAGAAUGAACCGGCGAGUUACGAUUGCAUGCGAGGUUAAGUCGAAGAGACGGAGCCGCAGCGAAAGCGAGUCUGAAUAGGGCGAAUGAGUAUGUAGUCGUAGACCCGAAACCAUGUGAUCUACCCAUGUCCAGGUUGAAGGUGCGGUAAAACGCACUGGAGGACCGAACCCACGUACGUUGAAAAGUGCGGGGAUGAGGUGUGGGUAGCGGAGAAAUUCCAAACGAACUUGGAGAUAGCUGGUUCUCUCCGAAAUAGCUUUAGGGCUAGCCUCGGAAUUGAGAAUGAUGGAGGUAGAGCACUGUUUGGACUAGGGG